UACGGGGGGGGCAAGCGUUGUUCGGAAUUAUUGGGCGUAAAGAGCUCGUAGGCGGACUGUCACGUCUGCUGUGAAAAGCUGGGGCUUAACCCUGGCCUUGCAGUGGAUACGGGCAGACUAGAGGUAGGUAGGGGAGAAUGGAAUUCCCGGUGUAGCGGUGAAAUGCGCAGAUAUCGGGAGGAACACCGGUGGCGAAGGCGGGUCUCUGGACAGUUCCUGACGCUGAGGCACGAAGGCCAGGGGAGCAAACGGG
RNAcentral lists this ribosomal RNA (253 nucleotides) under uncultured bacterium. Its description in RNAcentral is "partial 16S ribosomal RNA". It matches the Rfam family "Bacterial small subunit ribosomal RNA", at positions 524 to 776 of the family's 1533-position model. The record is from RNAcentral.